CAGAGAGAAGGUGCAGUCCUCAGCUCAAAGGCUGCCUGUUAACCAGGUGGGAGAGCAUCAUGAGACAUUUAGUCUUACCUCACAUAAGAAUUUUAAAUUUCCAAGGUAGUGCAGAGCUCUUAGGACUUUGUCAUUUAAACCCUGACUGUGUGGGGCGAGAGCACAAAUGUCUGUUCUGCCAUCAGCCCCACAGCUGUUCCUCCCACUCAGGUGUUUUCAUCUCUCUAAAAUUGACUCCUGGCAGCCAAUUAAUUACCUGCUGGGACGACACCAUUCUUUCCACUCACAAAGGGAGCAGUUGCAGUUGGAGAAGGAGCUGGGGAAUGGCUGGGAAUGUCAGAAAAAGAAAGAAAGUGAAUAUAUUUUACAACGGAUAUUACUGGUGAUGAAGCUGACUCAUUAAGGAUGUAUUAAGAAGCCCUGUGUCAGGCCAGCAGUCUCUCUCUAGGAGUGGCAAAUAGAUGCUGCCACAGCUUGUGCACCUGGCCCCUAACUGCAAAUCGUUCCCAUUUGUGCUGCUGAAUCCCUUGGAUUACAAUGAAACUAUUUGUUCUAUUUUUUGUCUUUGUAACAUUUUCCCAGUUUAACUUUCGCAAAAGACUUCAUUUGCUAUUUUUCCUAAGCUGAACCAAAGGUAAAUCUGUUUGUUAUGGCAGAAAUUUGAUCUACUGUAUGUUUUAUGUGUUUAAGAAAUUUCCUGCUGAACUACAUCUUUCUGUGUGUAGCCUGAUUUCUAUUGUGGGUUUAGAGGGCUGCAAAUAGUAGUUUUACAUGGAAAACAUACUUCAUUGCCAACACACACAUGUUUUUUGAAUCACUUGAAAGUUUUAUGUAAAACUGCAUGUUUUACUUGUCAAGCUGCAGAUAUUUUCAUAUCUACUUGUGUUAAUCAAAUGUCAAUUUAAAUGAGGAAUGAUAGUCAAGCUGGUUGUGAAUCACCCCUAAGCUCUAAAGCUAGUCAUUCUUGCCAGGGUUUAGCCAUAAAAGUUUUCAGGGCCAAAUUGAUUACCAGCUUUAUAUGCUCAACCCAGUUCAGUUAUAGGCAGAAAUUUGUUAGUUUUGUCUGAGUUUAUGAGUUCUUGAUUAAUUUUUAAAAUCUGUAACUGAAUCAGUCAAUGUUAUUGCUAAGAAAAAUCUGGAGCUGAAGGAAUUGUCCAUAAUUAAUGUUUAUGGACACUCAGCUUGUUCCAUUUCUUACUUUUUGCUCCAUGAACUUAUUUUAUCUCUCUUAUAGUUUGUUUCUUUUGUAUUCUGUUUCCUAAUCACUUUAAUAUUCCCACCCUUCUAUUUUUCACUUUAUUUUUAUCUGUAUUUGGUUACUUAUCCUCUUUUCUGUGUUAGUGCAGAACCGAGCAUCCAUAGAAGAGUUGCAUUUCUUUACCAUUU
This 1386-nucleotide long non-coding RNA is filed under the name Cyanistes caeruleus (blue tit). Its description in RNAcentral is "lncRNA (ENSCCEG00000013679.1)". Lineage: Eukaryota; Metazoa; Chordata; Aves; Passeriformes; Paridae. The record is from RNAcentral.